GGGGCUGUAGCUCAGUGGGAGAGCGCAGAGCCUUGUGGCGAGAUGGAACAAAUAAGGAAGGCGUUCGCCGCAUAGCUCUGAGGUCGCAGGUUCAAGUCCUGCCGGCUCCACCA
This 113-nucleotide transfer RNA is filed under the name Thermodesulfobacteriota bacterium. Its description in RNAcentral is "tRNA-OTHER". It matches the Rfam family "tRNA". From Rfam's summary of the family: Transfer RNA (tRNA) molecules are approximately 80 nucleotides in length. Lineage: Bacteria; Pseudomonadati; Thermodesulfobacteriota. The record is from RNAcentral.